CAGUAGGGAGAGCAUUUUUAAAACUACCCCUAUUUUAGUGCAAAAAGACGAUUCUGCCCUCAUUUGUUUUAACCUAAAAAAUCUCUUCUUCACCAAUCUCUCUCUCGACGGCGAAAACCCGACUCAUCUCUCUCUCUCGACGGCGACGGCGAUCCAUUGAUGUUGAUUUAUGAGAAUCCUAGUUUACAGUUCACCCCGUCGCCGACUAUCUCUACGUUCCUUCAAGCCCCUGAAUUUAUUGUUCUCCGUCGUGAUUCAUUGUUCUUGGUCGUGGUGUGCUGAGAUUUGGUGUGCUAUGGCGAGAUGAAAUGUGCUCUGCUCAGUUCGACGUGGUCUGGUAACUCACUUUCAACAUCUCGUCAAGCAUAGCACACGUAUUCGCUUCACUCUAUCAAAUCACGGCCUAGAUUCUCCUACAACAGUGAGAUGCUGGAAUUGGUACUUUUAUAUACUUUUAGUUUGGAUAUAAUCUAGAUUUGAUUGUUAUAGACAAGUAAGGUUUAGUGAAGGUAUCAUAUUUAAGAGAUCGACUUCAGUAUGCCAACAUAUCUAAUACAGUCUGCAUUUGUUAGUUUGCUGCAUAUUUCUAUGAUUUUACAGAAUGAUGUUUGUUAGUGAAGAUGUUUUGCAUCUGCACUCGAAAUCAAAUGGAAAAGAUAAGGCAUGUUUUUAGUAAUAGCUGUAGGAUAUGAUAUUAUUAAGGUGGUGGAGUUGAAUGUGUGUGAUUUCCAAUAUGAUUAGUUCAUAGCAAACAAUUUGUGAAUUUGCAAGCAAACGAAAGGUUGUCGUCUUCAGAUAGGAAGAACCAUCUCAGUCCGAGAUAUUCAUAGCAAGGGUACGAAUCUCCAGCUGCAAGACACUAACAAGAUAUAUUCAUGGUUUGUGUUGCAGGAUUACUGUUGGAUAUUAGAAUUUUGAAUUAUUCAAGAAGCUUUGAGCUCUGUUUUUAGUAUUCUACCAAGAGGAGUGGAGACAUGUGAGAGCCAGCCUUGAGUACACUGGUGGAGAAGUAAGAAGUGCUGGUAGAAAGCGGUAUAUCUAACGAUAGUUUCAGACUAAGAAACAAACUCAUGUGAUAAGAAAAUUGGUGCUUAAGUUGAAAUAUGCUUCUUUGUUUGUCAUCUAGUGAUUAUGUGGUUAGUAACUUGCCUUUUACUUGUAUUUCAAGUACAAUGUGUGUGUGACCUUUUUUUUUUAGUUUGUUAAAGGGCUUAUGAUUAAAGUGUGUAUGGAUUUGUAACAUUUUUAUAAGAAGAAACUAAGGAUAUAUAACAUCUUUUUAGAACC
Long non-coding RNA from Capsella rubella, 1287 nucleotides. RefSeq lists it as uncharacterized. The record is from RefSeq and is a predicted model, not a curated record. The transcript has 2 exons. Lineage: Eukaryota; Viridiplantae; Streptophyta; Magnoliopsida; Brassicales; Brassicaceae.